Molecule: non-coding RNA, 488 nt
Organism: Macaca mulatta (Rhesus monkey)
Lineage: Eukaryota; Metazoa; Chordata; Mammalia; Primates; Cercopithecidae
Source: RefSeq, a predicted model, not a curated record
GUGUGUGGUGGGGUGAGUGAGUUCUCUAACCAUGUGAUCUCUUUGUACAUGCUGGCUUCUCUUCCACUUUCUGCAGGGAGUUGAAGUAACCUGAUGCCCUUACCAGAUGCAGAUGCCAAGUCUUGAACUUCUUAAGCCACCAGAAUUAUUCACAAAGAGAUGUUAAAUUGGAUUAGAAGUUACCGGAGAUGGACUCCACUGGUAUUGAGAGAAGAGUGAGAAGAUGCAGGCUUUGUUUACAUGGAAAGGGGCAGGAUGCAGAUCAGAAUGAUUUCUCCACUUGUUUCUGUUUCUCUAUAUCUCACACAUCUUUCAAGACUCUUCGCUUAAGGUCCACAUUGUCUGGGAGGCCUUCCAGUACCAACUUGGAUCUCCAAGUUCCCCACCAGUGUGAACAAUCCUAAUUCUAGAAGGAAACUACUCCACGGGAGGAGGGCUGUUAAACACUGGAAAAGCCUACCAUUGGAACGGUAAGAUUGCCUGCCCCA